This 300-nucleotide non-coding RNA is filed under the name Myotis lucifugus (little brown bat). RNAcentral's name for it is "Eukaryotic large subunit ribosomal RNA". It matches the Rfam family "Eukaryotic large subunit ribosomal RNA", at positions 675 to 954 of the family's 3401-position model. Lineage: Eukaryota; Metazoa; Chordata; Mammalia; Chiroptera; Vespertilionidae. The record is from Rfam by way of RNAcentral.
CUAACACGUGCGCGAGUCCGAGGCUCGCAUGAAAGCUGCUGUGGCGCAAGGCCGGUCAGGGCCAAGGUGGGAUCCCGAGGCCUCUCAGUCCGCCCAGGGUGCACCACCCGCCCUUCUCGCCCGCCUUGCUGCGGAGGUUGAGCAUGAGCGCACAUGUUAGGACCCGAAAGAUAGUCAACUAUGCCUGGGCAGGGCGAAGCCACAGGAAAAUCUGGUGGUGGUCCCUAGCGGUCCUGAUGUGCAAAUCCCAUCUGACCUGGGUAUAGGGGUGAAAGACUGAUCGAACCAUCUAGUAGCUGG